CUCACGGUCAUUAUUCAGGGAGCUUGGGGCUGGGAGAAAAAACUCAGAUUUUACAGAUGAAUGCUAUAGUCCCAGGGAGUGAGAUAGAAGACUGCUGUGAAACUCAAGAGUUUGAGGAAAGGGGCAAGAUGGACUUGGUGAACAUUUCUCACCCAUCAUCAUUAGAGACCUAUUUUAUAUCCCACGACUCAAAAAGCUGGACCUUAGGUCUCCCUUCCUCUGCUAACAACAAAGAACUCACGUUGAAUUCCUCUCUGAAGAGCUUAUUGUCAUCAGCCAUUCUCCGGUUAAUCUCCUCUUCCAGCUUGUCCACAGGCAGUGGUGGGAACUUCCUGUUGGUGCUCGGGGACCUGGCCAGAAGUGGUACACUUUGGGGCUCUGCAGUGUACAAAAGGGAAGGUCAGUUAGGGGCCCUGGAGAUGGAUGCAGUCCCUUUUGUGAAGACUGAUGGUCUUAUUGUUUUGAAAAGAUGAGGAAAAGAGGCAGAAGAUAUGGCUGUCAGUAAAAGGUGUUUGUCACUAAGUGUGGCAGCCUCAACUGGAUUCCCAGAAUCUACAUGAUAGAAGGAGAGGACCAACUUUUGCAAGUUAGCCUCUGAUCUCCACGAGCAUGCCAUGGCACAUGUGUGUGUGUGCACAAAUUAAAUAAACAAUGGAAAGAUAAAUGUAAAAGGAUGGGGAAAUGUUCAUCUCCUGAUGUUCUUCUCCAGAUGUUCCCCAUGUCUUACCCACAUCCUCUGUGCGGCCAUUUGACAGGCGGAAAGAAUUGGAAUGGCUCCCAGCUUGCUUGUAUUUCUUAAACCUAAUGAGAACAUAUUUGUGAUGAAAAACUAGACACAGGUAAAUCACUCCUUGUAUUCUUGCUAACGACUCUGUCUUUUUUUUUUGGUUCUUUUUUUCGGAGCUGGGGACCGAACCCAGGGCCUUGCGCUUCCUAGGUAAGCACUCUACCACUGAGCUAAAUCCCCAG
Non-coding RNA from Rattus norvegicus (Norway rat), 969 nucleotides. The record is from RefSeq and is a predicted model, not a curated record. NCBI's taxonomy places the organism in Eukaryota, Metazoa, Chordata, Mammalia, Rodentia, Muridae.